Polypterus senegalus (gray bichir) is the source of this 665-nucleotide non-coding RNA. The record is from the annotation of a RefSeq genome assembly. NCBI's taxonomy places the organism in Eukaryota, Metazoa, Chordata, Cladistia, Polypteriformes, Polypteridae.
GAAGUCCGCAUGUGACUUCAUCAUGAGGAGCCGGAAGUGAUGGCAUCUCAGGUGCAGUGCUGGUCAGUUUGCAUAAAGCCGCCCUCCUUAGUGACGCACGUCUCAGUUCAGCACUCUGACUGCAUUUAUAAUUUCCUGAAGGAAACCCACUCAGAAUCUACAGCAACCAUGACUGUACUGGUUCUGCUUACUGUCUUCAUUGUUUUCAUUCAAGAUUCAGUAUGUCAGAUUUCUGUAAAUCAACCAUCAGCACCAAAGUCAGUUCCCCCUGGAGGGAGUGUCACCUUCAGCUGUACCACUGGGAGUAGCGUGGGUAGCUGGAUGGCCUGGUACCAGCAGAGAGAUGGACAAACUCCUAAACUCCUGAUCUACAAAGCAAGCAAUCUCUACGGUGACACCCCGAGUCGCUUCAGUGGCACUGGGUCAGGAACUUCAUUCAGUUUGACCAUCAAUGGAGUUCAGCCUGAAGAUGCGGGUCAUUACUACUGUCAGCAGGGCAGCAACUUACCACACAGUGAUUGAGACUCGUACAAAAACCUCACUGAGCUGUUUUCAUAACUGCAGGUGUGAAACUCAAACACUGAGAUGAGACUUAAUGCAGAAACCAAUGAAAUGAAACAAGUGAAUCUGAGUUGACAGGAAAACCAAAGAGAAGCAACCUUAAU